RNAcentral lists this ribosomal RNA (254 nucleotides) under uncultured bacterium. Its description in RNAcentral is "partial 16S ribosomal RNA". It matches the Rfam family "Bacterial small subunit ribosomal RNA", at positions 524 to 777 of the family's 1533-position model. The record is from RNAcentral.
UACGAAGGGGGCUAGCGUUGCUCGGAAUCACUGGGCGUAAAGCGCACGUAGGCGGGUUGUUAAGUCGGGGGUGAAAUCCUGGAGCUCAACUCCAGAACUGCCUUCGAAACUGACGAUCUUGAGUUCGGGAGAGGUGAGUGGAACUGCGAGUGUAGAGGUGAAAUUCGUAGAUAUUCGCAAGAACACCAGUGGCGAAGGCGGCUCACUGGCCCGAUACUGACGCUGAGGUGCGAAAGCGUGGGGAGCAAACAGGG